This 434-nucleotide ribosomal RNA is filed under the name uncultured Anaerovorax sp. RNAcentral describes it as "partial 16S ribosomal RNA". It matches the Rfam family "Bacterial small subunit ribosomal RNA", at positions 341 to 792 of the family's 1533-position model. Lineage: Bacteria; Bacillati; Bacillota; Clostridia; Peptostreptococcales; Anaerovoracaceae. The record is from RNAcentral.
ACGGGAGGCAGCAGUGGGGAAUAUUACACAAUGGGCGCAAGCCUGAUGUAGCAACGCCGCGUGAGCGAAGAAGGUCUUCGGAUCGUAAAGCUCUGUCCUUGGGGACGAAUACUGACGGUACCCAAGGAGGAAGCCCCGGCUAACUACGUGCCAGCAGCCGCGGUAAUACGUAGGGGGCGAGCGUUAUCCGGAAUUAUUGGGCGUAAAGAGUACGUAGGUGGCUGCGUAAGCGAGAGGUGAAAGCCCGGGGCUUAACUCCGGCGAGCCUUUCGAACUGCGUGGCCUGAGUGCAGGAGGGGAAAGUGGAAUUCCUAGUGUAGCGGUGAAAUGCGUAGAUAUUAGGAGGAACACCAGUGGCGAAGGCGACUUUCUGGACUGUAACUGACACUGAGGUACGAAAGCGUGGGGAGCAAACAGGAUUAGAUACCCUGGUA